AGAGUUUGAUCCUGGCUCAGAUUGAACGCUGGCGGCAGGCCUAACACAUGCAAGUCGAGCGGAUGAGAGGAGCUUGCUCCUUGAUUUAGCGGCGGACGGGUGAGUAAUGCCUAGGAAUCUGCCUGGUAGUGGGGGAUAACGUCCGGAAACGGGCGCUAAUACCGCAUACGUCCUACGGGAGAAAGCAGGGGACCUUCGGGCCUUGCGCUAUCAGAUGAGCCUAGGUCGGAUUAGCUAGUUGGUGAGGUAAUGGCUCACCAAGGCGACGAUCCGUAACUGGUCUGAGAGGAUGAUCAGUCACACUGGAACUGAGACACGGUCCAGACUCCUACGGGAGGCAGCAGUGGGGAAUAUUGGACAAUGGGCGAAAGCCUGAUCCAGCCAUGCCGCGUGUGUGAAGAAGGUCUUCGGAUUGUAAAGCACUUUAAGUUGGGAGGAAGGGCAUUAACCUAAUACGUUAGUGUUUUGACGUUACCGACAGAAUAAGCACCGGCUAACUUCGUGCCAGCAGCCGCGGUAAUACGAAGGGUGCAAGCGUUAAUCGGAAUUACUGGGCGUAAAGCGCGCGUAGGUGGUUCGUUAAGUUGGAUGUGAAAGCCCCGGGCUCAACCUGGGAACUGCAUCCAAAACUGGCGAGCUAGAGUACGGUAGAGGGUGGUGGAAUUUCCUGUGUAGCGGUGAAAUGCGUAGA
Molecule: ribosomal RNA, 691 nt
Filed under: uncultured bacterium
Lineage: Bacteria
Description: bacterial SSU rRNA
Rfam family: Bacterial small subunit ribosomal RNA
Source: RNAcentral